RNAcentral lists this unclassified non-coding RNA (305 nucleotides) under plant metagenome. Its description in RNAcentral is "partial contains 5.8S ribosomal RNA, internal transcribed spacer 2, and large subunit ribosomal RNA". The stretch from base 1 to 105 matches the Rfam family "5.8S ribosomal RNA", at positions 50 to 154 of the family's 154-position model. The record is from RNAcentral.
GAAAUGCGAUAAGUAAUGUGAAUUGCAGAAUUCAGUGAAUCAUCGAAUCUUUUAACGCACAUUUCGCCCGCCAGUAUUCUGGCGGGCAUGCCUGUUCGAGCGUCAUUUCAACCAUCAAGCCCCCGGCUUGUGUUGGGGACCUGCGGCUGCCCGCAGGCCCUGAAAAACAGUGGCGGGCUCGCUGUCACACCGAGCGUAGUAGCAUACAUUCUCGCUCAGGGCGUGCUGCGGGUUCCGGCCGUUAAACGACCUUCAUAACCCAAGGUUGACCUCGGAUCAGGUAGGAAGACCCGCUGAACUUAAGC